CCAGCAGCCGCGGUAAUUCCAGCUCCAGUAGCGUAUAUUAAAGUUGUUGCAGUUAAAAAGCUCGUAGUUGGAUUUCUGGUUGACGGCGUAUGGUCCGGCGUCCUCAGGAUGCUGUGUACCGUCGUGUGUCUGCCAUCCUUCCAGAGAGUUGUGCCUACCGGCUCGUCCGGCAGGGCGCUGCGAUCUGGAUCUUUUACUUUGAAAAAAUUAGAGUGUUCCAAGCAAGCUUACGCUUUGAAUACAUUAGCAUGGAAUAAUAAUAUAGGACUUUUGUCUUAUUUUGUUGGUUUCUAAGAUGGAAGUAAUGAUUGAUAGGGAUAGUUGGGGGUGCUAGUAUUCAGCGGCCAGAGGUGAAAUUCUUGGAUUCGCUGAAGACUAACUACUGCGAAAGCAUUCACCAAGGAUGUCUUCUUUAAUCAAG
This 421-nucleotide ribosomal RNA is filed under the name uncultured eukaryote. RNAcentral describes it as "SSU rRNA". It matches the Rfam family "Eukaryotic small subunit ribosomal RNA", at positions 567 to 981 of the family's 1831-position model. The record is from RNAcentral.